RNAcentral lists this ribosomal RNA (1372 nucleotides) under uncultured bacterium. RNAcentral describes it as "bacterial SSU rRNA". It matches the Rfam family "Bacterial small subunit ribosomal RNA", at positions 28 to 1381 of the family's 1533-position model. The record is from RNAcentral.
GAUGAACGCUGGCGGCGUGCCUAAUACAUGCAAGUCGAGCGAACGGACGAGAAGCUUGCUUCUCUGAUGUUAGCGGCGGACGGGUGAGUAACACGUGGAUAACCUACCUAUAAGACUGGGAUAACUUCGGGGAACCGGAGCUAAUACCGGAUAAUAUUUUGAACCGCAUGGUUCAAAAGUGAAAGACGGUCUUGCUGUCACUUAUAGAUGGAUCCGCGCUGCAUUAGCUAGUUGGUAAGGUAACGGCUUACCAAGGCAACGAUGCAUAGCCGACCUGAGAGGGUGAUCGGCCACACUGGAACUGAGACACGGUCCAGACUCCUACGGGAGGCAGCAGUAGGGAAUCUUCCGCAAUGGGCGAAAGCCUGACGGAGCAACGCCGCGUGAGUGAUGAAGGUCUUCGGAUCGUAAAACUCUGUUAUUAGGGAAGAACAUAUGUGUAAGUAACUGUGCACAUCUUGACGGUACCUAAACAGAAAGCCACGGCUAACUACGUGCCAGCAGCCGCGGUAAUACGUAGGUGGCAAGCGUUAUCCGGAAUUAUUGGGCGUAAAGCGCGCGUAGGCGGUUUUUUAAGUCUGAUGUGAAAGCCCACGGCUCAACCGUGGAGGGUCAUUGGAAACUGGAAAACUUGAGUGCAGAAGAGGAAAGUGGAAUUCCAUGUGUAGCGGUGAAAUGCGCAGAGAUAUGGAGGAACACCAGUGGCGAAGGCGACUUUCUGGUCUGUAACUGACGCUGAUGUGCGAAAGCGUGGGGAUCAAACAGGAUUAGAUACCCUGGUAGUCCACGCCGUAAACGAUGAGUGCUAAGUGUUAGGGGGUUUCCGCCCCUUAGUGCUGCAGCUAACGCAUUAAGCACUCCGCCUGGGGAGUACGACCGCAAGGUUGAAACUCAAAGGAAUUGACGGGGACCCGCACAAGCGGUGGAGCAUGUGGUUUAAUUCGAAGCAACGCGAAGAACCUUACCAAAUCUUGACAUCCUUUGACAACUCUAGAGAUAGAGCCUUCCCCUUCGGGGGACAAAGUGACAGGUGGUGCAUGGUUGUCGUCAGCUCGUGUCGUGAGAUGUUGGGUUAAGUCCCGCAACGAGCGCAACCCUUAAGCUUAGUUGCCAUCAUUAAGUUGGGCACUCUAAGUUGACUGCCGGUGACAAACCGGAGGAAGGUGGGGAUGACGUCAAAUCAUCAUGCCCCUUAUGAUUUGGGCUACACACGUGCUACAAUGGACAAUACAAAGGGCAGCGAAACCGCGAGGUCAAGCAAAUCCCAUAAAGUUGUUCUCAGUUCGGAUUGUAGUCUGCAACUCGACUACAUGAAGCUGGAAUCGCUAGUAAUCGUAGAUCAGCAUGCUACGGUGAAUACGUUCCCGGGUCU